ACACCAAACUGGUGCUGAUCGGCCUCACACGUCGGAGGUCACUGGUUCGGAUCCAGUACGGUCCA
This 65-nucleotide transfer RNA is filed under the name Acidimicrobiia bacterium. RNAcentral describes it as "tRNA-Val". The record is from RNAcentral. Lineage: Bacteria; Bacillati; Actinomycetota; Acidimicrobiia.